RNAcentral lists this ribosomal RNA (494 nucleotides) under uncultured bacterium. RNAcentral's name for it is "partial 16S ribosomal RNA". It matches the Rfam family "Bacterial small subunit ribosomal RNA", at positions 28 to 507 of the family's 1533-position model. The record is from RNAcentral.
GACGAACGCUGGCGGCGUGCUUAACACAUGCAAGUCGAACGGAAAGGCCUGCUUUCCCUUGUGGAUUGCGGGUACUCGAGUGGCGAACGGGUGAGUAACACGUGAGUGAUCUGCCCCCAACUUGGGUAUAAGCCUGGGAAACUGGGUCUAAUUCCCGAUAGGACUGCAGGGUGUGGCCUGUGGUGGAAAACGAUUUUCUAGUGGUGGGGGAUGAGCUCGCGGCUUAUCAGCUUGUUGGUGGGGUAAUGGCCUACCAAGGCGGCGACGGGUAGCCGGCCUGAGAGGGUGGACGGCCACAUUGGGACUGAGAUACGGCCCAGACUCCUACGGGAGGCAGCAGUGGGGAAUAUUGCACAAUGGGCGGAAGCCUGAUGCAGCGACGCCGCGUGGGGGAUGACGGCCUUCGGGUUGUAAACUCCUUUCGACCGCGAGGAAGCCACCUGGUUGGAAGGGUGGUGACGGUAGUGGUAGAAGAAGCACCGGCUAACUACGUG